This is a long non-coding RNA of Oncorhynchus masou masou (cherry salmon), 788 nucleotides long. RefSeq lists it as uncharacterized. NCBI's taxonomy places the organism in Eukaryota, Metazoa, Chordata, Actinopteri, Salmoniformes, Salmonidae. The record is from RefSeq and is a predicted model, not a curated record. The transcript is spliced from 3 exons.
AUAAGUGGACUGGCGGCAGGGAAUGAAAGGGACAACAAAUCCAGUUGUUUGUGUCAACCGUUUCGGGAAAGUACCUGCUUAAUUGCACACCCAACUCACUCAGUUGCGGAGAGACCCUGUAAUCCUAGAUUCAGACCACUCAGGCGAGAAAAAACAUCACCCAGAUAGGCCAGUCGUGUGAGAAACUCGUCAUCAUGCAAGCGGUCAGACAACUGUUAGGCAUUCCCUUGGCAGCAAGAGCCUCUCAGUGCAUGAUGCAGUGUACCCAAGUGGCGUCGGGAGCAACUGCUUGCACGCGCGUUACCACUCCACUAUUUCUUCCUGUCAUGGCAUUUGCACCAUCAGUACAGAUACCAACACAUCUUGACCACCAAAGUCAAUUUGAUGUCACAAAGCUGUCCAGUACUUUAAAAAUAUCCUCUCCUGUUGUCCAGAAGAGGAUGUCUUCCGUAAUUGACCCCCCAUAAACGUAACGGACAUAUACCAGGAGCCAGCCCAGGCCCAUCACACCUGUUGACUCAUCCAGCUGUAAUGCAUAUAAUUAACUUGCUUGUAUGUGCAGCAGUAAUAGUUACAAAACCAUGUCACCGAUGCCUCCUGAAAGUGUUGUUUGAUGUCUCAAUCGUUUUUUGGCCUUUUCCCCCAGCCAUAUUUUUGUUUUUUUUAACCUUUUACCGGGGAUUCGAACUUGCAACCUUUACGGUUACUAGGUCAACGCUCUAACCACUAGGCUACCCUGCCGCGAGAGCAUGAAGCUUUAAGUCCCCCACAAUAGUAUGGGGCUUGCC